UACGUAGGGUGCGAGCGUUGUCCGGAAUUACUGGGCGUAAAGAGCUCGUAGGUGGUUUGUCACGUCGUCUGUGAAAUUCCGGGGCUUAACCUCGGGCGUGCAGGCGAUACGGGCAAUACUUGAGUGCUGUAGGGGAGACUGGAAUUCCUGGUGUAGCGGUGAUAUGCGCAGAUAUCAGGAGGAACACCAAUGGCGAAGGCAGGUCUCUGGGCAGUUACUGACGCUGAGGAGCGAAAGCAUGGGUAGCGAACAGGAUUAGA
RNAcentral lists this ribosomal RNA (260 nucleotides) under uncultured prokaryote. RNAcentral's name for it is "partial 16S ribosomal RNA". It matches the Rfam family "Bacterial small subunit ribosomal RNA", at positions 524 to 782 of the family's 1533-position model. The record is from RNAcentral.